This 134-nucleotide ribosomal RNA is filed under the name Shigella flexneri. Its description in RNAcentral is "partial 16S ribosomal RNA". It matches the Rfam family "Bacterial small subunit ribosomal RNA", at positions 1 to 125 of the family's 1533-position model. The record is from RNAcentral. Lineage: Bacteria; Pseudomonadati; Pseudomonadota; Gammaproteobacteria; Enterobacterales; Enterobacteriaceae.
UUAAAUUGAAGAGUUUGAUCAUGGCUCAGAUUGAACGCUGGCGGCAGGCCUAACACAUGCAAGUCGAACGGUAACAGGAAGCAGCUUGCUGUUUCGCUGACGAGUGGCGGACGGGUGAGUAAUGUCUGGGAAAC